RNAcentral lists this transfer RNA (77 nucleotides) under Aeromonas sp. FDAARGOS 1414. RNAcentral's name for it is "tRNA-Glu". It matches the Rfam family "tRNA". From Rfam's summary of the family: Transfer RNA (tRNA) molecules are approximately 80 nucleotides in length. Lineage: Bacteria; Pseudomonadati; Pseudomonadota; Gammaproteobacteria; Aeromonadales; Aeromonadaceae. The record is from RNAcentral.
GUCCCCUUCGUCUAGAGGCCCUAGGACACCGCCCUUUCACGGCGGUAACAGGGGUUCGAAUCCCCUAGGGGACGCCA